This 207-nucleotide ribosomal RNA is filed under the name uncultured bacterium. RNAcentral describes it as "partial 16S ribosomal RNA". It matches the Rfam family "Bacterial small subunit ribosomal RNA", at positions 1294 to 1500 of the family's 1533-position model. The record is from RNAcentral.
CGGAUUGUAGUCUGCAACUCGACUACAUGAAGCUGGAAUCGCUAGUAAUCGCGAAUCAGAAUGUCGCGGUGAAUACGUUCCCGGGUCUUGUACACACCGCCCGUCACACCAUGGGAGUCGGAUAUGCCCGAAGUCAGUGACCCAACCAUAUGGAGGGAGCUGCCGAAGGUGGAGCCGAUAACUGGGGUGAAGUCGUAACAAGGUACC